GCUUAAUAUCUAGCCCCACCCUGAUAUAUGACUAUACCCCAACUUUCUCCCCCCUCCUAAAACAUUUUCUUGAUUUAGUAAAGGCGAUUAAAAAAUUUCUCGGAGCAAUAAAUUCAGUACCGCAAGGGAAAGAUGAAAUAAAAAUGAAAAAAAUUUGCAAGCCUAAAAAAGCAGAGCUUAAUUCUUGUACCUUUUGCAUCAUGGUUUAACUAGUCUUACCAAGCAAAAAGACUUUUUAGUUUGAACUCCCGAAUCUAGGCGAGCUAUUUUAGGACAGUUUUGUGAACGAACCCGUCUCUGUUGCAAAAGAGUGGGAAGAUCCUAGAAUAGCGGUGACAGACCUAACGAGCCUAGUGAUAGCUGGUUGCUCCAGACAAGGAUUUUAGUCCUGCUUAAACCUUAAUGAUUUUUCUAAAAAUCUGUUUAAAGUCACUCAAAUAAGGUACAGCCUAUUUGAAAAAGGAUACAACCUUUAUUACUGGGUCCAUACACUUAAUUUAUGGAUAAGUAGGCCUAAAAGCAGCCAUCUUAAACAAAAGCGUCAAAGCUUACACAUAAACUUAGCUAAUCCCUAUCCCCCCAUUCACCCCUUAUCCCCCCAUAGAGCAACUCUAUAUUUAUAUAGAAAAUUUAAUGUUAAAACUAGUAAUAAGAAGUAGACCCUUCUCUUUAACGCAAGUUUAUGUCAGCCAGGACACCCCGCUGACAAUUAACGCCUCUAAUAUCUAAGUUGAAACAAACAAGAAAACUCUCCUACUAUUAGCGUCCACCUAACACCAGAGCGUUACAAGAAAGAUUAAAAGAAAAAGAAGGAAUUCGGCAAAUAUUAGUCCCGCCUGUUUACCAAAAACAUCGCCUCCUGCAUAACAAAUAGGAGGUCCAGCCUGCCCAGUGACACUGUUCAACGGCCGCGGUAUCCUAACCGUGCGAAGGUAGCGUAAUCACUUGUUCUUUAAUUGAGGACUAGUAUGAAUGGCCCCACGAGGACUACACUGUCUCCUUUCUCUAAUCAAUGAAACUGAUCUCCCCGUGAAGAAGCGGGGAUAAACCUAUAAGACGAGAAGACCCUAUGGAGCUUUAAACAACAGAAAUACUUGCUUCUUUCCUACCAUUUUCUGAAAACUAAAUUAAUUCAAGCAUUUUAUCUCCCAGUUUUAGGUUGGGGUGACCACGGAGAAAAAAUAAACCUCCAUGUUGAAAGAAGCCUUCCACCUUCUAAGCAAAAAGACACAACUUUAUGCAUCAACACAUUGACUCCCAUUGACCCAAUAAUUUGAUCAACGAACCAAGUUACCCUAGGGAUAACAGCGCAAUCUACUUUGAGAGCUCAUAUCGACAAGUAGGUUUACGACCUCGAUGUUGGAUCAGGGUGUCCAAGUGGUGCAGCCGCUACUAAUGGUUCGUUUGUUCAACGAUUAAAACCCUACGUGAUCUGAGUUCAGACCGGAGUAAUCCAGGUCAGUUUCUAUCUAUAAAGAGGCUUUUCUAGUACGAAAGGACCGAAAAACCGCGGCCAAUAUACCUCUAAGCCGUAAA
This 1536-nucleotide ribosomal RNA is filed under the name Andinobates virolinensis (Santander poison frog). Its description in RNAcentral is "16S ribosomal RNA". It matches the Rfam family "Bacterial large subunit ribosomal RNA". Lineage: Eukaryota; Metazoa; Chordata; Amphibia; Anura; Dendrobatidae. The record is from RNAcentral.